CAGCAGCCGCGGUAAUACGAAGGGGGCUAGCGUUGCUCGGAAUCACUGGGCGUAAAGGGAGCGUAGGCGGGUUUUUAAGUCAGAGGUGAAAUCCUGGAGCUCAACUCCAGAACUGCCUUUGAUACUGAAAGUCUUGAGUAUGGGAGAGGUGAGUGGAACUGCGAGUGUAGAGGUGAAAUUCGUAGAUAUUCGGAAGAACACCAGUGGCGAAGGCGGCUUACUGGCUCAUUCUAGACGCUGAGGUGCGAAAGCGUGGGGAGCAAACAGGAUUAGAUACCCCGGUAGUCCCUGUCUCUUAUAU
This 301-nucleotide ribosomal RNA is filed under the name uncultured bacterium. RNAcentral's name for it is "partial 16S ribosomal RNA". It matches the Rfam family "Bacterial small subunit ribosomal RNA", at positions 509 to 809 of the family's 1533-position model. The record is from RNAcentral.